RNAcentral lists this long non-coding RNA (299 nucleotides) under Prunus persica (peach). RNAcentral describes it as "long non-coding RNA (PPER_LNC004716)". Lineage: Eukaryota; Viridiplantae; Streptophyta; Magnoliopsida; Rosales; Rosaceae. The record is from RNAcentral.
CCAUGCAACCUUCUUCACUCCAAAGGGCUAAUUGCUGAUGCAAAGUGGAAGGAACACAUAAGCUUUGGUAGAUCCAGUCCCUACCAAGCAAUGCAUUGUAAGUGGUAGAAGUGGUGUCUACCACAAAAAAUGCAAUCUUCAGCUCCUUGGUCCCAACUAUGACGUCCACAUCUUGGAUUCCAUGAGUCUUAGUGAUGCCCCCAGCAAAGUUAGUGACAGUCAAACGCGUUGGAAUUAGAUCAUUCUCUGUUCUGCCCAUCUUGCUCAGCAAUCUGUGAGGCAGAAGAUUAAUGGCUGCA